Molecule: transfer RNA, 58 nt
Filed under: Metallosphaera sedula
Lineage: Archaea; Thermoproteati; Thermoproteota; Thermoprotei; Sulfolobales; Sulfolobaceae
Description: tRNA-Gly
Source: RNAcentral
GGGGUAUCCCCCUUCAGCUGGCCUUCCAAGCCAGAAGUCCCGGGUUCAAAUCCCGGCG